RNAcentral lists this ribosomal RNA (468 nucleotides) under uncultured bacterium. RNAcentral describes it as "partial 16S ribosomal RNA". It matches the Rfam family "Bacterial small subunit ribosomal RNA", at positions 28 to 507 of the family's 1533-position model. The record is from RNAcentral.
GACGAACGCUGGCGGCGUGCUUAACACAUGCAAGUCGAACGGAGAGGCCCUGCUUUUGUGGGGUGCUCGAGUGGCGAACGGGUGAGUAACACGUGAGUAACCUGCCCUUGACUUUGGGAUAACUUCAGGAAACUGGGGCUAAUACCGGAUAGGAGCUCCUGCUGCAUGGGGGGGGUUGGAAAGUUUCGGCGGUUGGGGAUGGACUCGCGGCUUAUCAGCUUGUUGGUGGGGUAGUGGCCUACCAAGGCUUUGACGGGUAGCCGGCCUGAGAGGGUGACCGGCCACAUUGGGACUGAGAUACGGCCCAGACUCCUACGGGAGGCAGCAGUGGGGAAUAUUGCACAAUGGGCGGAAGCCUGAUGCAGCAACGCCGCGUGCGGGAUGACGGCCUUCGGGUUGUAAACCGCUUUCGCCUGUGACGAAGCGUGAGUGACGGUAAUGGGUAAAGAAGCACCGGCUAACUACGUG